UGGGACGUAGCCAAGCGGUAAGGCAGCGGGUUUUGAUCCCGUCAUCCGUAGGUUCGAAUCCUUCCGUCCCAG
Molecule: transfer RNA, 72 nt
Filed under: Aneura pinguis
Lineage: Eukaryota; Viridiplantae; Streptophyta; Jungermanniopsida; Metzgeriales; Aneuraceae
Description: tRNA-Gln
Rfam family: tRNA
About the family: Transfer RNA (tRNA) molecules are approximately 80 nucleotides in length.
Source: RNAcentral